RNA transcript from Nycticebus coucang (slow loris), 2351 nucleotides. It is a transcript of the gene named cyclin-dependent kinase 11B-like, with no coding region annotated. The record is from RefSeq and is a predicted model, not a curated record. Lineage: Eukaryota; Metazoa; Chordata; Mammalia; Primates; Lorisidae. The transcript has 2 exons.
AUGUGCCGGGAGCUGCCAGUGCCUAGUCGCUGCUCGGAGGGAGCAAUGGGAGAAGCAGCGGUGGCGGUGGCGCAGGGUGUUUUAAUUCAAAUAGGUGAUGAAAAGGACUCUUGGGAAGUGAAAACUUUAGAUGACAUUCUUCAGGAAAAGAAACGAAGAGGGGAACAAGUGGAGAAAGCAGAGAUAAAACGCUUAAAAAAUUCUGUGACCAGGUUUCCAAGAGGGAUUCCCUUGAAGAGGGGGAGCUGAGAGAUCAUGGCAUGGAGAUCAUGAUAAGGAACUCACCAUAUAGAACAGAGGGUUCUAUGGAAGACAGAGGAGAGGAAGAUGAUUCUUUGGCUAUCAAAGAAUCACAGCAAAUGUCUCGGGAAGAAAAAGCUCAUCACAGAAAAGAUGAAAAGAGAGAAGAGAAACAUAGGCAUUGCAGCCAUUCAGCAGAAGCGGGGAAGUGUUCAAGAGUGAGAGAAAAGGAACAAGAACAGGAACGUCAGAAACGACAUCGAGAAGGACAGGACAGAGCUCGCUGGGAGUUGGAAAGACAGAAAAGGAGAGAGAUCCUCCAGGAGAGAGAGAGAUCGCCUUGAGCAGUUAGAAAGGAAGGGAGAAGGGGAGCACAAAAUGCGAGAGCAGCAGCAGGAGCAGUGAGAGCGGAAGGAGCGCGAGCCGCCGGCUGAGCGGCGGCGCAGGGAGCGCGAGGUCUGCCGGGAAGGCUCUGCACAGCAUCAAACAGCGCGGGAGGACUGUGGCGACAAGGCCAAGGCCAGCCAGUGGAGCCGUAGCCCCCUCGGGCAGCCCAGGGAGCGCUUCGAGCUGGGAGACAGCCGGAAGCCAACAAAAGAAGAGAAAAUGGAAGAAAAAGACCUGCUGUCCUACCUGCGAGAGGAAAACCAGCUUGGCGGUCAGGUUCUGAGGAGGAAGACGAGGAGGAGGAAGAGGAAGGGAGCGCCAGUGAAGAAGAAUCAGAGGAGGAGGAGACUGGGAGCAACUCUGAGGAGGCCUCAGAGCAGUCAGCGGAAGAAGUAAGUGAGGAAGAAAUGAGUGAGGAUGAAGAGCGAGAAAAUGAAAACCACCUCUUGCUUGCUCCAGAGUCACGAUUUGACAGAGAUUCUGGGGAAAGUGAAGAAGGAGAGGAAGAAGUGGGUGAGGGCAACCCGCACAGCAGUGUACCAACAGAAGGGGACUAUGUGCCGGACUCCCCAGCCUUGUCACCCAUCAAGCUCAAGCAGGAGCUGCUCAAGUAUCUGUCGGCCCUGCAGGGCUGCCGGAGCAUGGAGGAGUUCCAGUGCCUGAACAGGAUUGAGGAAGGCACCUAUGGGGUGGUGUACAGGGCAGAGGACAAGAAGACAGAUGAAACUGUGGCUCUGAAGUGGCUCAAAAUGGAGAAGGAGAAAGAGGGCUUCCCAAUCACAUCUCUGAGGGAAAUCAACACCAUCCUCAAGGCCCAGCACCCCAACAUUGUCACUGUCAGGGAGAUCGUGGUGGGCAGCAACAUGGAUAAAAUUUACAUCGUGAUGAACUACGUGGAGCACGACCUCAAGAGCCUGAUGGAGACCAUGAAGCAGCCUUUCCUGGUAGGGAGGUGAAGACCCUGAUGAUCCAGCUGCUUCGUGGGGUGAAGCACCUACACGACAACUGGAUCCUGCACUGAGACCUCAAGACGUCCAACCUGCUGCUGAGUCACUCCGGCAUCCUCAAGGUGGGCGACUUUGGCCUAGCACGGGAGUAUGGGUCUCUUCUGAAGGCCUACACCCCUGUGGUGGUGACCCUAUGGUACUGUGUCCCAGAGCUCCUACUUAGUGCCAAGGAGUACUCCACGGCUGUGGACAUGUGGUCAGUGGGCUGCAUCUUUGGGGAGCUGCUGCCUCAGAAGCCUCUGUUCCUUGGGAAGUCGGAAAUCGAUCAGAUCAACAAAAUGUUCAAGGACCCGGGGACCCCCAGUGAGAAAAUCUGGCCUGGCUACAAUGACCUCCCAGCAGUGAAGAAGAUGACCUUCAGCAAGUCCCCCUAUAACAACCUCAGCAAGUGCUUUGGGGCCCUGCUAUCGAACCAGGGCUUUGAUCUCAUGAACAAGUUUCUGACCUACUACCCUGGGAGGAGGAUCAAUGCUGAAGAUGGCCUCAAGCACGAGUAUUUUCACGAGAUCCCCCUCUGCAUCGAGCCCUCCAUGUUCCCCACGUGGCCUGCCAAGAGCAAGCAGCAGCAGGUGAAGUGGGGUACCAGCCCACGGCCCCGAGGGAGGCCUGGGCUACAGCCAGCUGGGCGAUGACUACCUGAAGGAUACCGGCUUCCACCUCACUACCACAAACCAGGGGGCCUCAGCUGCAGGCCCUGGCUUUAGCCUCAAGUUCUGA